Molecule: ribosomal RNA, 506 nt
Filed under: uncultured bacterium
Lineage: Bacteria
Description: partial 16S ribosomal RNA
Rfam family: Bacterial small subunit ribosomal RNA
Source: RNAcentral
AGUGAACGCUGGCGGUAGGCCUAACACAUGCAAGUCGAACGGCAGCACAGGAGAGCUUGCUCUCUGGGUGGCGAGUGGCGGACGGGUGAGGAAUACAUCGGAAUCUACUCUGUCGUGGGAGAUAACGUAGGGAAACUUACGCUAAUACCGCAUACGACCUACGGGUGAAAGCAGGGGAUCUUCGGACCUUGCGCGAUUGAAUGAGCCGAUGUCGGAUUAGCCAGUUGGCGGGGUAAAGGCCCACCAAGGCGACGAUCCGUAGCUGGUCUGAGAGGAUGAUCAGCCACACUGGAACUGAGACACGGUCCAGACUCCUACGGGAGGCAGCAGUGGGGAAUAUUGGACAAUGGGCGCAAGCCUGAUCCAGCCAUACCGCGUGGGUGAAGAAGGCCUUCGGGUUGUAAAGCCCUUUUGUUGGGAAAGAAAUCCAGCUGGCUAAUACCCGGUUGGGAUGACGGUACCCAAAGAAUAAGCACCGGCUAACUUCGUGCCAGCCGCCGCCGUAA